GGAGGCGUGCCAGAGCGGCCGAAUGGGGCUCACUGCUAAUGAGUUGUCCCCCUCAAAGGGGACCGGAGGUUCAAAUCCUCUCGCCUCCGCCG
Molecule: transfer RNA, 92 nt
Filed under: Mycobacterium sp.
Lineage: Bacteria; Bacillati; Actinomycetota; Actinomycetes; Mycobacteriales; Mycobacteriaceae
Also listed under: 2 other names
Description: tRNA-Ser
Rfam family: tRNA
About the family: Transfer RNA (tRNA) molecules are approximately 80 nucleotides in length. Their secondary structure includes four short double-helical elements and three loops (D, anti-codon, and T loops).
Source: RNAcentral